RNAcentral lists this long non-coding RNA (211 nucleotides) under Mytilus galloprovincialis (Mediterranean mussel). The record is from RNAcentral. Lineage: Eukaryota; Metazoa; Mollusca; Bivalvia; Mytilida; Mytilidae.
CGUGUUUUUCCCAUUUCAAAAUUUCUUGAAGCUUGUUCACCCUUCCAAUUUUAUGAUAUCAUAGUAUGUUGCUGUUUUCAUUAGAACUAUUAAUAAUAUAUGCACAAAAAGAAAUGUCAUAAGAUGUUGAAACGUUAUUAAUUCGUCACCAUUAUUUCAUCAUAUGCUAUCCGAUAUACGUUUUAGUGUCAAUAUCAAUAAAACACUAUCC